RNAcentral lists this ribosomal RNA (775 nucleotides) under uncultured Neocallimastigales. RNAcentral describes it as "partial large subunit ribosomal RNA". It matches the Rfam family "Eukaryotic large subunit ribosomal RNA", at positions 24 to 633 of the family's 3401-position model. Lineage: Eukaryota; Fungi; Neocallimastigomycota; Neocallimastigomycetes; Neocallimastigales. The record is from RNAcentral.
UAUGUGAUCGUCUCUCGCAUAUCAAUAAGCGGAGGAAAAGAAACUAACAAGGAUUCCCCUAGUAGCGGCGAGUGAAGCGGGAAGAGCUCAAAUUUGAAAUCUUAAAGGGUUUCCCUUUACGAAUUGUAGUUUAAAGAAGUGUUUUCUGUUAGUGAGGUGGCUAAAAGUUCUUUGGAAUAGGACAUCAUAGAGGGUGAGAAUCCCGUAUUUGACCUUUACUUUCAACUUUGUGAUACACUUUCAAAGAGUCGGAUUGUUUGGGAAUGCAGUCCAAAAUGGGUGGUAAAUUUCAUCUAAAGCUAAAUAUUGGCGAGAGACCGAUAGCGAACAAGUACCGUGAGGGAAAGAUGAAAAGAACUUUGAAAAGAGAGUUAAACAGUACGUGAAAUUGUCAAAAGGGAAGCGUUUGACACCAGUGUUGUUUUCCUGAAAAUCAAUUAAAGAACUGUUUAUGCUAAGCUGUUUAGACUUUAUCAGCUAACUGUUUAGUUUUGAGCUUUUCUUUAAUGCACUUUUCAGUUAACAAGUCAACAUCAAUUUCUUUUGCUGUAAAAAAGCUUGAGGAAGGUGGCUUGAGAUUCGUCUUAAGUGUUUAUAGCCUCUUGCCUAUGCAGUCGGAGAGAUUGAGGUCUGCAGCGUAGAUCCUUCGGGGCUAAAUGCAUUUGUGCUAAGUUAUAGCAUUUCAUAGACAACUUGUUGACUAUGAUUUGUCUUGUAGCUUACUCGCUUAUGUUAUUUUACCUACGCUUAGGAUGUUGAAGACUCUACAGAGAUA